Molecule: non-coding RNA, 159 nt
Organism: Triticum aestivum (bread wheat)
Lineage: Eukaryota; Viridiplantae; Streptophyta; Magnoliopsida; Poales; Poaceae
Source: Rfam
AUAGUACUCCCUUCGUCCGGAAAUACUUGUCAUCAAAAUGGAUAAAAGGGGAUGCAUCUAGACGUAUUUUAGUUCUAGAUACAUCUCCUUUUAUCCAUGUUGAUACAUCUCCUUUUAUCCAUGUUGAUGACAAGUAUUUUCGGACGGAGGAAGUACAAG